RNAcentral lists this ribosomal RNA (264 nucleotides) under uncultured archaeon. RNAcentral's name for it is "partial 16S ribosomal RNA". It matches the Rfam family "Archaeal small subunit ribosomal RNA", at positions 748 to 1008 of the family's 1478-position model. The record is from RNAcentral.
CAGCCGUAAACUAUGCGCGUUAGGUGUAUCGGUGACCACGAGUUACCGAGGUGCCGAAGGGAAACCGUGAAACGUGCCGCCUGGGAAGUACGGUCGCAAGGCUGAAACUUAAAGGAAUUGGCGGGGGGAGGCACCACAACAGGUGGAGCCUGCGGUUUAAUUGGACUCAACGCCGGGAAGCUCACCGGAUAGGACAGCAGAAUGAUUGCCGGGCUGAAGACCCUGCAUGACUAGCUGAGAGGAGGUGGCAUGGCGUCAGUGACU